GGUCAUCAAAACAUACAUAAUUGUUGCCGAAGCCCUCUUGCUAAAGGUAUAAUACUCCCCCCUUAGCAAAGGGUGAAUUCUCUGGUUUUGAUUGGCCGGGAGAAACUCCAUGAGUCUUGAGGAUUUUCAGAAAUGUUGGAAUCAGUGAUGUUUUGUUUCUGAUGAUAUUAUCCGAUGGAGGUGACAGGGAGAGAGGAUGCUAGGUCAAUGGUGUUGGUGGUGAAGGAUUUUGGCGCAUCCAAGGAUAUAACCAACAUAAAAACAAUGCUUACAAGGAGAUAUCGGCUCAUUUGAUUGCUAUAUUGGCUUUGGUCACCCUUGUGGGGCUCCUUAUCUCUGAAGCAAAGAUGGGAUGCUCUUUGGACUCAGGAAGAUGAACAAGAUAGAAAAAGAAAGGGAUCAACCUUGCCAUGACCCCAUAUUUCUGUAGGCUAAUAUCCCUUAUUUGCACUAUCCUACACCGAAUACUUAUAGGGUUAUGUGCCUUUGUCAUGCAACACAUGUCAAUGGCAGUUCAGGAAGAGAUGACAUCACAAGUGAGCUCAAUUGAUAAGCCCACUAGCAGAAAUUUUUUGUUUGAGGUGACUGCCACUGGGCCCAUAUAAUUAUUGUUCCAGCGGCAGUGAAGCGCUCGAUCGACUGAGUCCGUUGCCAACGAUGCUCCCGGUGAAAAAAACCCUAAGACCGAGAGGUAAAAAGAGAUCGCCUCCUCCUCACUCCUCCCACACCCGGUGGCGCCUCCUCCCUCCUCCCACCACCUCCUUCCAUGGCCGUACCCCACUGCCUCGACACCACCUCCUCCCCUUCCUGGCGGCGCCUCCUUCCUCCUCCCACGACCUCCUUUCACGGCGGUGCCCCGACCUAACCGAUCUUCCCCGUCUUCAGUCAAGGGCCCGGUCGACCGGAGAAGUUGGAGAUCAGUAGUGGCGGAUGCACGUCCUCUUGGUCGUCGCCGGCCAGAGAAGGUAGGGAGCAGCGGAUGCCAGAGAGGGAGGCGGCUCGGCGUGGACCGGCCAUGGCGCUGGCGCUGCUAACUCCCACCGGCCUCCUUUGUCUCCUAGCCACAGCCUGCUCCAACCCCUCCUCUGAUGUGGUGUGGUGGGAGAAGGAAGAAGAGCAGGCAUGCUCUCUGUCUACAUUCAGCGUCCACACGGCUAGAUCGACGGGUCUAAACUAUGGGUGCCAUUCUAUCUCAGAUGUAGUACAUUGUGUGUAUGAAUCAUGGUGAAUGUCAAGCCUACUUAGGUCAUACCCAAGUAAGAUCCGCGGCACAGUAGGAGAGGUGACACCGGCCGGCAGCGCCUCACCACCAGCUAUUGUUUGGCGGCGGCAAGGAGAAUGGCGCUUAGGAUCUGCUGCGCUGUGCAUGGCUGUUGAAGUUCAGCAUCGCCAUGAUGUCAAACAAAAGCUUGGCAGCCAUCUACUUUCAGAGAGUUUGAAAGCGUACUAUCACCCUAACUCGGUUAUCCAGAUUAAUGGUAAGUGUGUGUUUUCUUGUAUACCGAUCUACAGAAUUACAAUUGAGAUCUCUACCUCCUUUAUUUCCCUUUUGUCAUCUUUUCUGGCUUUUAUUCUACUACUCAAAAUGUUUGACUAUUCAAUUAUAAACGUCAUGCAGCAGAGAUUACUUUCUUACUCCCUUCAGACAUGAUUUCUCUGCCCAAACAUUCAAUUGAACUGACACUAGCAAUAUUGAUCAGCUGAACUUGCAGAAGGGGAGAGGUACUGAAGGAACAUCUUACGUAUUUUUGGUCUGAUAUUCUUUGAGUACAUAACUAUCCAUUUAUUAAAAACUAUAUUUGAUGGACAAAUUGAACAACACAAUUUAAGGAUGAUAAAAAAAUAAUUUUAACAAGUGGAAGUAAUGUAUGGUACCGUGUAAAAAUGAAAGGUAUAGUUUUCCCACUCCUCCAAGAUGAGUUCAGUGCCUGUGUUUAAACCAUGGAUGUAGAGAUGGUCGGGUCAAAUGAAAUGUAUGAAUACUACUACAAUUGUUGAACAUUUGAUGAAACCAGAAGCACAUAAAAGGAAGUAAGUAGAUUACAUAUAUGUAAGUUAGUCUUGUGGCUGACACUCACCAUGAUAAAUAUAACCCCGGACGCAUAUGCCAACCAAUGUUUAAGCGACUCAAGGACAAACUAAUGCUAUAUAUCGAUGCCUGCUGCUUAGGUUCAAAAGAGAAGUAAUUGUACCUGAAGCAGUGGACACAACCAUUCCUUGCAUUUGUAAGAGUUGUGAAGUAGUACAAUAACCGUCUUUCUUUCAGGAGCAGUGUCGUUAAGUUUCAGUAGAAGUACAGGUACACGUUCCUGUUCAGCUGACUAUUGGAAAAAAAGUGAUAACAGAUUCUGUUAUUCAGGGAGCAAGAGUCAAAAUUUCUUCAACUAGCUUCUCCUAAGUUGCCCACCUCUUUCCUCGGGCAUGACUCCAUGGCUUGGAUAAAGCAGCAGAAUCAACACAAUCACCUCCAAAAGCAGCAGAAACAAGAGCAUUAAUUGGGUGCUUUUGCAAACUACAAAAAGUAUUCCACCACUCAUUAUCUACCUUGGUUGGUGAGAUUUUUGAAUUGAGCCUUAUAAACCGGAAAGGAGGGAGUAUCGAUUUGUCAUGCGUGCAUGCCUUCUCGAUUGUUUGUUGUUGCCGACACGUUAAGUGAUCACGUGUCUGUGUUGCCGCCUAAUCCAUGGUCGUUCUUUCUGAGAGACAGUGGGAAUACAAAUACUGAGAUUUGCUUCCCAUUUUCCUUUGAUCGUGACCGUGAAAAUGCAGAGUAGUCCGAGGAGGCGUCAACCGCGUGGGCUCCUCCCUACAUGCCCCCUGACCCAGCCGUCACAUAUCCUCCUUCGUUACACCCGAUUCGUUGAAUGCUUGAUGCGAUGGAGGUUGCGGCACAGCGGCCGACGGGAGCAUGCAAGUGGGUGAUGGUCGUAGCACGGCGAUGUCGUACGGUCGCUCGGCGUGCAGUAGGGCCCGGUGGUGCCAGAUUGCCCGUGCGGCACACAUCUGUAGCGGAGCGUGGAAGUUCGGUUGGUGUGCGCAGCAAGCGUGACACUGGCACAACUGCGGCACACCGCUUGACCUUUUGCCGCCGUGUGUAUUUUAUUUUUGUGUGCGUAUUCGACGUACAUUUUUUGGCAGAUUAUACGAUCUUGCUCACCUACAAAAUUAGCUAGCUUUCAUUGUUCAUAAAACAAGAUGGAUUGAUCCACAAGCCUGCUUAUACGUGAGUUCAGUAAUGACCAGAGAAUCGAUCAAGCCUCCUCUAUCUAUUAAAAUAUCUCUGUCCAUAUUGAACACAUAGAGUUGGUGGUUAGCGCCCUAGCCAGCCUGGGUCGAUGUUCGAGAAUCAGAAUUAACUCUAAGAUGAGCUCCUCGAAUAGUCUCUCUCUCUGGGCAAUGAUGAUGCCGAGGCCAGUGUGACUAUUUUCCAGCAGAGCAGUGUUCAACAUUGGCGGCAACCAUUUUUUAUGGUGGCUUGUGAGAUUUCUCUACUGUUUAGACACAAAUUUGCUCUGUGUGAUGCACCAGGGCUGUGGAUAAGGAUUUUCUGAUUUUCUGUUUGCCGCAUCUGGGUGUUUCUCAUCUGAACAUGAAUUCAAAAUGUUCCAUUUUGCAUCCAAGUAAAACUGUUGGUUCACAACGAUUCUAUCUAUCAUUUACCUAAUCGCUCACUAUUCUUAAUUCUGAUAGGGAGGCGCACAUGGAGGAAGGUGAAGCAUAUGCUUUCACCUUUAAAUACACUUUCAAAGGAUUGCGCCUGAUCGUCUAUUCAAUAUAAUCAAGUUGUAAGAGUCCCUUAUUAUAUAACUUAGCAUUAGUAUACAUGCCUAUCAAGACUUCUAUGUUUAUCAUGUUUUUGAAUCUCAUGUAAUCAUCUAAGACCAUCAUGUGUGUUUAACUCUCGGUCAUUUGCUACUGACGAAUUAGAGUCAUCUUGAUAGAGAUAACAAGCCCUUUCUAUGUAUUAUCAAUAGGAUCAAUUCUAACAAGUCACACACUCAUAUUCCAGAGAUACCGAAA
Non-coding RNA from Aegilops tauschii subsp. strangulata, 4020 nucleotides. The record is from RefSeq and is a predicted model, not a curated record. Lineage: Eukaryota; Viridiplantae; Streptophyta; Magnoliopsida; Poales; Poaceae.